GGACUCCACAAGUUUCCACUUUAAAAACUGUGGCACUUCUUCUCAUUUUAGAUCUCUUUAAUGUGUCUCCACUGAAGCAAAAAUGAAUUGAUCGAAUACAAAGAAAACUGUAAACAAUCAUAUUUGGCUCCAAAACAUGUCUCAUCUCCUCUAAAGAGGUGAGGACCAAACAUUCUACAUAUGGGAAGAUGUGAGCAUUAAUAGAAACGAGGUGCUCCAACAAUAUAAAGACACCUACUGCACCAGGACCUCCCCCUGGCAAAGACUCUGAGGUCUGUGGUCUGAGUUUACCAUCCAAGAAAGCCCAGUGAAGAGGGUUGCCUGCUGCGAGGCCUGCAGACAUGGUCUAGGGAAGAGAAAUGGACUGAAGAGCGGCCCAGCACUGCCAGCUCUCACCGGCUCCAUCCCACCUGGCUGCCCGCAUUUCUCCUUCAGGGCCAGCCUCAUUCCUGCACAGGGCCUUUGCCCAUGCUCCUCUGCCUCUCCAAAAGUCUUUUUCUUUCCUCAUUCUUUAGAAAUCUCAGGUUUUGUAUAGGUGCCAGCUCCUUUUCAAAAGCUUUCUAAUUCAUCCAACACACAUUUUUCUUCCCUGAAUGCUGUUAUUUACUCUCUGUAGCACACAUGAAGUCUGCAGCUUACCCAUAGAAUAUUUUAGGCCGAAAGGUUAUGCUGCUGAUGAAUUCAGCCGGUCAUUUUACCUGUGUGUUUUAUUGUUUAUAAGCAAGCCACAUUACAUCUGCUUUGGGGGUAAAAUAUAACAACUGUAAAAUAAG
This 773-nucleotide long non-coding RNA is filed under the name Homo sapiens (human). Its description in RNAcentral is "HSALNT0048011". Lineage: Eukaryota; Metazoa; Chordata; Mammalia; Primates; Hominidae. The record is from RNAcentral.